Molecule: signal recognition particle RNA, 97 nt
Filed under: Ignavibacteria bacterium
Lineage: Bacteria; Pseudomonadati; Ignavibacteriota; Ignavibacteria
Description: signal recognition particle sRNA small type
Rfam family: Bacterial small signal recognition particle RNA
About the family: The signal recognition particle (SRP) is a universally conserved ribonucleoprotein involved in the co-translational targeting of proteins to membranes. Archaeal SRP consists of a 7S RNA and homologues of the eukaryotic SRP19 and SRP54 proteins.
Source: RNAcentral
UUUCCGGGGCUAAUUAACAAGCUGAUGCCCAACCCCGUCAGGUCCGGAAGGAAGCAGCGGUCAGCAAUCAGUUUGUGUAGUUAGUUCCCGGUUUUUU